This 253-nucleotide ribosomal RNA is filed under the name uncultured bacterium. Its description in RNAcentral is "partial 16S ribosomal RNA". It matches the Rfam family "Bacterial small subunit ribosomal RNA", at positions 524 to 776 of the family's 1533-position model. The record is from RNAcentral.
UACGAAGGGGGCUAGCGUUGCUCGGAAUUACUGGGCGUAAAGCGCACGUAGGCGGCUUCUUAAGUCGGUGGUGAAAUCCUGGAGCUCAACUCCAGAACUGCCUUUGAUACUGGGAAGCUCGAGUCCGGGAGAGGUGAGUGGAACUGCGAGUGUAGAGGUGAAAUUCGUAGAUAUUCGCAAGAACACCAGUGGCGAAGGCGGCUCACUGGCCCGGUACUGACGCUGAGGUGCGAAAGCGUGGGGAGCAAACAGG